Mustela putorius furo (domestic ferret) is the source of this 115-nucleotide non-coding RNA. The record is from Rfam. NCBI's taxonomy places the organism in Eukaryota, Metazoa, Chordata, Mammalia, Carnivora, Mustelidae.
GUCUACGGCCAUACCACCCUGAACGCGCCCAAUCUCGUCUGAUCUCGGAAGCUAAGCAGGGUCGGGUCUGGUUAGUACUUGGAUGGGACGCCUACAAAUUUGGUUUACCUCUUCC